Molecule: long non-coding RNA, 98 nt
Organism: Limulus polyphemus (Atlantic horseshoe crab)
Lineage: Eukaryota; Metazoa; Arthropoda; Merostomata; Xiphosura; Limulidae
Exons: 3
Source: RefSeq, a predicted model, not a curated record
UGCAAGCAGUAAAAUCAAGAAUUAGACUAGUUUUAAGCUGUUUUUAUUGGCAGCAAUUCGUUCUUCCCUUAUUUGUGUUGAUAAUGGUUUUAUCUUAU